CUCAGUUCGGAUUGGAGUCUGCAACUCGACUCCAUGAAGCUGGAUUCGCUAGUAAUCGCGCAUCAGCCAUGGCGCGGUGAAUACGUUCCCGGGCCUUGUACACACCGCCCGUCAAGCCAUGGGAGUCGGGAGUGCCUGAAGUUCGUGACCGUAUAGGAGCGACCUAGGGCAAGACUGAUGACUGGGGCUAAGUCGUAACAAGGUAAC
This 207-nucleotide ribosomal RNA is filed under the name uncultured bacterium. RNAcentral's name for it is "partial 16S ribosomal RNA". It matches the Rfam family "Bacterial small subunit ribosomal RNA", at positions 1287 to 1500 of the family's 1533-position model. The record is from RNAcentral.